Ostrea edulis (European flat oyster) is the source of this 1481-nucleotide long non-coding RNA. RefSeq lists it as uncharacterized. The transcript has 3 exons. The record is from RefSeq and is a predicted model, not a curated record. NCBI's taxonomy places the organism in Eukaryota, Metazoa, Mollusca, Bivalvia, Ostreida, Ostreidae.
GUCAAGGACUCAAAACGAUUUACAGUCAACCUCUACAACAACGGGAAUCUGGAGAUCGGGGCACUGUUACUGCUGUAACAAAAGGGGACACUGGAGGAAAGAUUGCACAGAAAAAUUGAAAAAGAAUAAGAUAAGUGAAAAUUUUGAAAAUGGUAAUCAUGGCAAUUAAGAAAAAUGUAGGUCGAUGGCGUUCGAUAGGAGCAAAUAGCUUUGUUAUUGACGUUUUAAACUUUGGUUAUCAGAUGCCUUUGGUUACUACACCGGGACAUAUUGUAUUGCAGAACGACAAAUCUGCUGUUAACAAUGAGCAGUUUGUGUCCAAAGAAAUCAAAAAGAUAGUAGAGAAAGGUUGUAUUCUGAAAGUAAAUAAAAAUACCAAGGACAGUAAACCCGUUGGCGGUAGCAGUCAAACAUAAUUUCGCAUCAAGGAGAACAAAUGGCUUUGACAUAACAAAGAAAUGACAAUAUUCGUUAAAAAUAGCAUGGUACCAGGAGAGCUAGAUGCCUAUAUUCCCAACAAUAUGAGCCAGUCCGAAAGAGAGUCUACAACAGGUGCAAUACAGCUCAUUAAAAAUGUUUUGAGAAAAGAUUUGUCAGAUAAUGUCGUGUAUCAUGAUCAACAGUUAAGGUCAUCACAGAUAGACCAAAGCUGACAUGGAAUGAAAUAGUAAAACGAGACAUAGAGUUUACAGGAUUGGAUAGGAUCAAUCCACUUGGUCACCAAGUAUAGAAAAACAAAUUUCGACCUCAACAGGACACCCAGCCCUAACCCCUCCGAAAGGAUUAAUUUGGCCUGGAUAAUCAAAAUGGAGUUUUGAGAUUGAUCGCUGUUCGUUAUCUUCACCUUUCAUGAUGAUGGAAGCUCAGUGAAGGUAGAUGCUGGCAAUGAAGCUCUUUAGCAAUAGAACAAACAGGCUUAACAUUAAGGAUAUGCGGGACGAUGAUCACGUGAUGGUUGCAAAUUUAUUAUAAAUUUAGAACCGGACGCAGCGUAGUUAAGCUUCCCGAGAAAAAUCCCAAUACUGUACAGACACACUAUACGACGUCAUAAUAAAAAAGUACGUCACGACGUUGCAUCGCGGGGAAAAUGUCAUCAUAUUUUGUUGUAAUUUGCUAUCGCUGUCAAGUGUUUUGUGUAAAUCUGUUGAUUGAAUUCUUGUCAAAUGAUAAUUUUCCUUUUAUUUCAUAGUGAUUACAAGUCUCUUUUUGAUAUAUAUACAUUGCAUAUAUUAUAUAUAUGUAUAGUAUGAGCCACAAUAAUUUUGAUAGUAUAGCCUACAACUCACCGAAAUCGCUCCUACAUGCACAUGCAAUUUGCAUCUCUAGGCAUUUACAAAAAGAAAGUCAACCGUCUGUAAACACUGACUCAGUGCAAGUGUAAGAUGAUGAUCGUUUGUUGAUAUUUACAAUAAUAGUGUGAAACUAGAACUGGGCACACAUUUCUCCGAAUCUUGCUUGGGAAACAUACACACUAUUCAGGU